GAAAUGCGAUAAGUAAUGUGAAUUGCAGAAUUCCGUGAAUCAUCGAAUCUUUGAACGCACAUUGCGCCCUCUGGUAUUCCGGGGGGCAUGCCUGUCCGAGCGUCAUUGCGAACCCCUCAAGCACGGCUUGUGUGAUGGGCCCUCCCGCGUCUUGGUCGUCAAGACGGGCCCGAAAUGCAGUGGCGGCUUCGCGGUUAUCCGAUCAGCCAGAGCGUAUGGGGACUUUCUCUCUGUCACACGCCCGCGGUGCGGACCGACGCCUGUCGACCUUUAUUCAUCUUUUUCUCGGUUGACCUCGGAUCAGGUAGGGAUACCCGCUGAACUUAAGC
RNAcentral lists this unclassified non-coding RNA (329 nucleotides) under plant metagenome. RNAcentral's name for it is "partial contains 5.8S ribosomal RNA, internal transcribed spacer 2, and large subunit ribosomal RNA". The stretch from base 1 to 105 matches the Rfam family "5.8S ribosomal RNA", at positions 50 to 154 of the family's 154-position model. The record is from RNAcentral.